AACGAACGCUGGCGGCAGGCUUAACACAUGCAAGUCGAGCGCCUCGCAAGAGGAGCGGCUGCCGGGUGAGUAACGCGUGGGAACGUACCCUUAUCUUCGGAAUAGCUCUGGGAAACUGGAAGUAAUACCGAAUGUGCCCUUAGGGGGCAAGAUUUAUCGGAUAAGGAUCGGCCCGCGUUGGAUUAGCUAGUUGGUGGGGUAAAGGCCUACCAAGGCGACGAUCCAUAGCUGUUCUGAGAGGAUGAUCAGCCACAUUGGGACUGAGACACGGCCCAAACUCCUACGGGAGGCAGCAGUGGGGAAUAUUGGACAAUGGGCGCAAGCCUGAUCCAGCCAUGCCGCGUGAGUGAUGAAGGCCUUAGGGUUGUAAAGCUCUUUCACCGGAGAAGAUAAUGACGGUAUCCGGAGAAGAAGCCCCGGCUAACUUCGUG
Molecule: ribosomal RNA, 431 nt
Filed under: uncultured bacterium
Lineage: Bacteria
Description: partial 16S ribosomal RNA
Rfam family: Bacterial small subunit ribosomal RNA
Source: RNAcentral